GGGAUGUGAUAGUAAAUGGUUUUACUGAUUGAUUGCAGAUCAUUUUUUUUAGGUUCGAUUCCUACAUAUCUCU
Molecule: transfer RNA, 73 nt
Filed under: Monilinia fructicola
Lineage: Eukaryota; Fungi; Ascomycota; Leotiomycetes; Helotiales; Sclerotiniaceae
Description: tRNA-Cys
Rfam family: tRNA
About the family: Transfer RNA (tRNA) molecules are approximately 80 nucleotides in length. Their secondary structure includes four short double-helical elements and three loops (D, anti-codon, and T loops).
Source: RNAcentral